RNAcentral lists this long non-coding RNA (3962 nucleotides) under Homo sapiens (human). RNAcentral describes it as "non-protein coding lnc-RMDN2-3:4". Lineage: Eukaryota; Metazoa; Chordata; Mammalia; Primates; Hominidae. The record is from RNAcentral.
ACAUCCUUGGUGGGACGGAGCAGGAAGGCUGGAGAUUUCAUCAAGCUACUCACAGCAGCAUGCCAUUUAAAAUUCAUGAAUUAUUUAUUUCUGGAAUUUUCCGUUUAAUAUUUUUGGACCACAAUUGACCUCAGAUUUUACUUUCUACUCUUGUCAGUCAUAUCUGCAAGGCUGACAGUUACCAGGGGCUGUGGCCAGGCAUGAGGGAGAAUGUGUCAUUGCUGGCUGCGUUGGUCAUAGCAACGUGUCUGCCUCAGAACAGAUCCAGCAUGGAUGAGCAAACAGAAAAAUGUGUAAGAAGGCUUGUGACUGAAACAGACCAAGGCAGACACUUGAAGAAGCAUCUUUCUUGUGAUCUCCUGGCUGGUACCCUGAAGUCCUGUUAUGCCAAUGGACCAGCAACCCUCGCAGGUAGAAGGUCUUGAGUUCGCUGACGUUACUCUCAAAAUACUUUCAGGUUCCGUGGCCAUAGUGACCCCAGCCAAGUUUCACAUUGCCUCCGGACUUCUGGAUGUGGCUCUGCUGCUAAUGCUGGCGGGAUGAAUAUCAAUAGUCAUAAGGAAUGAAAACCAAGACAACUGGAUUUUAACAGGGAGGAAAAGUUGCAAGAAUGGCUAGUAAAGUUCCAAAACUACAAUUUCAUUUGGUUCCUUUCAACAUGGUCUUUGAAGUUUGUUUUGCAUAAAACUCCGAAAAUGAAUGAAUAAAUGAAGAACAGAUUUAAACAGUGGUUCCUCAAGAAUGAUGCUGCCUCAUCUCAUUUGCUCUUUAGAAAUUCAUCAGAAGAUCACCUAUACCGCUACAUGCAAUGCUUUCCAAAGGAUGGUCCUUGCAACAUCAACUCAGAAUACUCUUUUAAACUGCAAUUUACUGGGCCCCAUCUCAGAACUAAGAAUCCGAAGGUUUGGUGGGCAGCGAAUCUAUGUAUCUUGAAUGAAUGGAUUUGUUACUAGAAAGGCGUCUGGAUCCAGACAAGAGAGGUUCUUGGAUCUUGCACAAGAAAGAAUUCCAGAUGACUCCAUAAAGUGAAAGCAAGUUUAUUAGGAAAGUAAAGGCAUAAAGAAUGGCUACUCCAUAGGCAGAGCAAUGGGGUUGCUCCACCAAAGAUACUUAUGGUUACUUCUUGAUGAUAUGCUAAACAAGAGGUGGAUUAUUCAUGAGUUUUCUGGGAAAGAGGUGAGCAAUUCUCAGAACUGAGGGUUCCUCCCCUUUUUAGACCAUAUAGGGUAACUUCCUGACAUUACCAUGGCAUUUGUAAAUUGUCAUGGCACUGGUGGGAGUGUCUUUUAACAUGCUAUUGCUUUAUAAUUAGCAUAUAAUGAGCAGGGAGGAAUACCAGAGGUCACUCUUGUCACCAUCUUGGUUUUGGUGGGUUUUAGUUGGCUUCUUUACCACAACUUGUUUUAUCAGCAAGGUCUUUGUGACCUGUAUCUUGUGGCGACCUCCUAUCUCAUCCUGUGAGUAAGAAUGCCUAAACUCCUGGGAAUCCAGCCGAGCAGGUCUCAGCCUUAUUUUACCCAGCCCCUAUUCAAGAUGGAGUCUCUCUGGUUCAAACAUCUCUGACAGACUGAUGGACAAUAAUUCAGUCAGUUUAUAUGCACUUAACCCCUCCAUCUUUCAUUCUGCAAUCUUAAUUACGAAUGCCGCAUAAGAGAUUUAAUAGGCCUUGCAAAGCAAAACCAGUGAUACAAACAUUUUAAAGCAUACGUAUACUUAGAAAUAAUGCAAAACAUUAGAUAGUAAAUUCUGACAAGAAAAGCUAAUUUGAAAAACAGAAAUAGCUUUAGACAAAAUUUAGGUCUCCAAGGUAAAGUAAAAAGUUUCCAAGUAUUUUUGGAAACUUCAUUUCUCCUUUCUCAGUUUCUCUACGAUUCCAUGCUCCCAACCAAACUUCACAGAGGUCUUUCUCCUCUGUAAGCUAUCUUACUUGGCAUUAGCCAAUUUAAAAAAAAGAACUAGCAAUCACAUAGGCUGAUCACAUACAGAAAACCUGCCAAAACUCUGGUUGAAAGUGAAGAAUUCAGAUAUCUAGAUAUUUUUAUUUAUCCGUAAAUCCAUUCAUUCAAGAUAUGCAUUACUGAAUAAUAUGUACUGAGGGUAGAAAAAUGAGUAAGACAUGGCCCGUGCUUUUAAGAAAAAUUAUUCAAAUUUUAGAAAUUAAGAUCUCAUAGGAUAUUCUUUCAAUGCUGGGCAUUGCCUAACAAGCCUAUAGAAGCAUUUUUUAAAUCUCUAGAAGAAUGUACCUGUGUUUGUGCUGUUUAGUGUUAAUUAAGGGCUUAGAUGCUGUGAAAUUACAUGUUAACAUAUGUUAGUUGCAGAGGCCAGAGAUGUUGCUAAACAUCCUACAAUGUAGAAUUCUCCCUACAACAAAUAAUUCUCUGUCCAAAAAAUCAAUAGCACUGAAGUUGAGAAACCCUGUUCCAAAGAGAUCAAAAGGGAAACCAGGAAACCUUUGCCCUCCUUGGAAAGAGAAGUUUUAGUGGUUUCUGCAGUAGGUUGGUACAUGGGAUAGAAGUCAGGAAGUGAAGCCUGUGAGAGGACACUGCAGGUUUUUCCCAGUGGAGGUUGUUAAAUAAGGAAGUCCUAAAAUGAGAGGGGAGCCAGGGUUAGUGGAAGUUUCUUUUAGGAAUGAUAAUUGGUGGUACCAAAGUAUUUUAAAAUGUUUGAAUCAACUGAAGUUUUUAUUUUUCAUUUGGAUGUUAGAUGCCUUCGAAACUUUCAUCUAAGCCAUGUUAACAGUGUGUUAUCUUGAUGAAAGAUCUUUACAGUUUCUGCUUCUUUAAAAGGGGAGAAAAUAAUGCUGCCUAUUUAUGGCCACAUCUCAUGAUCGCACAGAUUUAGCAAAGGAAAAUACCCAAAGCGCCUUGAUGUCUAAUGUUGGAUUCUCACCGUUAAAUAUUUUAUGAAAAUCUUUUGAUCUUUUGUAAUGUCACUCUGUAAUCUUACUGCAUUUCUGUAGGUAAAUAUCUGAAUUAUUCAAAUUAGUUUAUUAACAGUCUUUCAUUUGUUAAAUACAGAUACUCCUUGAGUUAUGCUUCUUGUACAAUGAGUGACUGGCUGCUCAUUAUGUCUCAAAGAAAGGUUCCUCUCAGCACCCUUUUGUUUGAGAAAGGGGGGGUUUAUGAUACUAGGAGAAGUAAAUGUGAAGUCAUUACUGUCAGAAUUGUCUUUUUUGUUGUUGUUUCCUUAAGAAGUUGUUUCUUAAGGGUUGCUUUGCCUCAUGUGAGAAAGCCAGAGAGUGCUGUGGCAGAAUGGGUCAUUCUCUUCUUGUUGGAAGCCUGGCAGAGCCUGUGGCUGGUGGUAGGAAGGAUUCUUUUUGCUCUAGCUGGUAAGUGGAUGUCAUAGCUGGAGGGCGGGGAUUUUCUGAUCAUUUGACAUUGGACAGUUAUCAGCUGCAGCAGUUGGCGGGGACAAGUUCAGUCUUUUGUUUUGUAAGUGGAAGCAGCCAAGGCCAUAGCAACAGAUAACUGAUUUCCUGACAUCAGCAGGUCUAAGUUAGAAGUCAGUGCCAAACCAUACUGUAUGUUAUCACAUAGGGUAUAAAGGGUUUUAUGGGUUUCUCACAGAAAUUAACCACCAUUUAUAGCAUAAUUUUCAUGAUAUGUCCCAUGUCCCAAACAAUCAAAUUAAAAUUAUUUUGGAUCACAAUCCAUAUGGGUUUGUUACUCUCUUUAGUCUGGAUUUCUUCUAAAAUCAUUACAGUAGUGUUUCAGUUUUCAUCUUCUUCUAGACUGUCUUCUCUGAGAGUCCAAAUAUGUGUCUUAAUAAUGAUAGGAGUAUAAUUUUUAUAAAAUGCAAAAAGUUCUAACAACGGUUGGUUAAUUAAUGUGUCUCUAUUGCAAUAUAUGAGAGUAGAUUCUCUCUGUUUAUUUAUUUGUAUGCCCAGGGGCUCUGUCUACUGAACAAUUUCUUGAAAAGGGUCUGCUCCGAAAGGGAAAAUCACUUUCCUUUGUAUAGUCUGA